Molecule: non-coding RNA, 21 nt
Organism: Caenorhabditis elegans
Lineage: Eukaryota; Metazoa; Nematoda; Chromadorea; Rhabditida; Rhabditidae
Source: Ensembl
UGACAUUGGCAUAUGAUUAUA